ACUCAUCGCCCUCCUUGGGCGUUUCCUCCCUAGACUUGGGUCGCUCUCCGGAGCGGCCCUUUUUUUGCGCCCGC
This 74-nucleotide small RNA is filed under the name Saliniramus fredricksonii. RNAcentral's name for it is "Salinarimonadaceae bacterium HL-109 SuhB". It matches the Rfam family "Makes More Granules Regulator RNA (mmgR)". From Rfam's summary of the family: SuhB later renamed mmgR (makes more granules regulator) was a putative non-coding RNA found multiple times in the Agrobacterium tumefaciens genome and related alpha-proteobacteria. Other non-coding RNAs uncovered in the same analysis include: speF, ybhL, metA, and serC. Lineage: Bacteria; Pseudomonadati; Pseudomonadota; Alphaproteobacteria; Hyphomicrobiales; Salinarimonadaceae. The record is from RNAcentral.